This 1521-nucleotide ribosomal RNA is filed under the name metagenome. RNAcentral describes it as "bacterial SSU rRNA". It matches the Rfam family "Bacterial small subunit ribosomal RNA". The record is from RNAcentral.
AGAGUUUGAUCAUGGCUCAGAUUGAACGCUGGCGGCAGGCCUAACACAUGCAAGUCGAACGGUAACAGGAAGAAGCUUGCUUCUUUGCUGACGAGUGGCGGACGGGUGAGUAAUGUCUGGGAAACUGCCUGAUGGAGGGGGAUAACUACUGGAAACGGUAGCUAAUACCGCAUAACGUCGCAAGACCAAAGAGGGGGACCUUCGGGCCUCUUGCCAUCGGAUGUGCCCAGAUGGGAUUAGCUAGUAGGUGGGGUAACGGCUCACCUAGGCGACGAUCCCUAGCUGGUCUGAGAGGAUGACCAGCCACACUGGAACUGAGACACGGUCCAGACUCCUACGGGAGGCAGCAGUGGGGAAUAUUGCACAAUGGGCGCAAGCCUGAUGCAGCCAUGCCGCGUGUAUGAAGAAGGCCUUCGGGUUGUAAAGUACUUUCAGCGGGGAGGAAGGGAGUAAAGUUAAUACCUUUGCUCAUUGACGUUACCCGCAGAAGAAGCACCGGCUAACUCCGUGCCAGCAGCCGCGGUAAUACGGAGGGUGCAAGCGUUAAUCGGAAUUACUGGGCGUAAAGCGCACGCAGGCGGUUUGUUAAGUCAGAUGUGAAAUCCCCGGGCUCAACCUGGGAACUGCAUCUGAUACUGGCAAGCUUGAGUCUCGUAGAGGGGGGUAGAAUUCCAGGUGUAGCGGUGAAAUGCGUAGAGAUCUGGAGGAAUACCGGUGGCGAAGGCGGCCCCCUGGACGAAGACUGACGCUCAGGUGCGAAAGCGUGGGGAGCAAACAGGAUUAGAUACCCUGUAGUCCACGCCGUAAACGAUGUCGACUUGGAGGUUGUGCCCUUGAGGCGUGGCUUCCGGAGCUAACGCGUUAAGUCGACCGCCUGGGGAGUACGGCCGCAAGGUUAAAACUCAAAUGAAUUGACGGGGGCCCGCACAAGCGGUGGAGCAUGUGGUUUAAUUCGAUGCAACGCGAAGAACCUUACCUGGUCUUGACAUCCACGGAAGUUUUCAGAGAUGAGAAUGUGCCUUCGGGAACCGUGAGACAGGUGCUGCAUGGCUGUCGUCAGCUCGUGUUGUGAAAUGUUGGGUUAAGUCCCGCAACGAGCGCAACCCUUAUCCUUUGUUGCCAGCGGUCCGGCCGGGAACUCAAAGGAGACUGCCAGUGAUAAACUGGAGGAAGGUGGGGAUGACGUCAAGUCAUCAUGGCCCUUACGACCAGGGCUACACACGUGCUACAAUGGCGCAUACAAAGAGAAGCGACCUCGCGAGAGCAAGCGGACCUCAUAAAGUGCGUCGUAGUCCGGAUUGGAGUCUGCAACUCGACUCCAUGAAGUCGGAAUCGCUAGUAAUCGUGGAUCAGAAUGCCACGGUGAAUACGUUCCCGGGCCUUGUACACACCGCCCGUCACACCAUGGGAGUGGGUUGCAAAAGAAGUAGGUAGCUUAACCUUCGGGAGGGCGCUUACCACUUUGUGAUUCAUGACUGGGGUGAAGUCGAAACAAGGUAACCGUAGGGGAACCUGCGGUUG